RNAcentral lists this ribosomal RNA (253 nucleotides) under uncultured bacterium. Its description in RNAcentral is "partial 16S ribosomal RNA". It matches the Rfam family "Bacterial small subunit ribosomal RNA", at positions 524 to 776 of the family's 1533-position model. The record is from RNAcentral.
UACAGAGGGUGCGAGCGUUAAUCGGAUUUACUGGGCGUAAAGGGCGCGUAGGCGGCGUGGUAAGUCACUUGUGAAAUCUCCGAGCUUAACUCGGAACGGUCAAGUGAUACUGCUGUGCUAGAGUGCAGAAGGGGCAAUCGGAAUUCUUGGUGUAGCGGUGAAAUGCGUAGAUAUCAAGAGGAACACCUGAGGUGAAGACGGGUUGCUGGGCUGACACUGACGCUGAGGCGCGAAAGCUAGGGUAGCAAACGGG